AUCGGAACAUGUCCAGUAGUGGGGGAUAGCCCGGCGAAAGCCGGAUUAAUACCGCAUACGAUCUAUGGAUGAAAGCGGGGGAUCGCAAGACCUCGCGCUAUUGGGGUGGCCGAUGGCGGAUUAGCUAGUUGGUGGGGUAAAGGCCUACCAAGGCGACGAUCCGUAGCUGGUCUGAGAGGACGACCAGCCACACUGGGACUGAGACACGGCCCAGACUCCUACGGGAGGCAGCAGUGGGGAAUUUUGGACAAUGGGCGAAAGCCUGAUCCAGCAAUGCCGCGUGUGUGAAGAAGGCCUUCGGGUUGUAAAGCACUUUUGUCCGGAAAGAAAUCCUGGUGGCUAAUAUCCGCCGGGGAUGACGGUACCGGAAGAAUAAGCACCGGCUAACUACGUGCCAGCAGCCGCGGUAAUACGUAGGGUGCGAGCGUUAAUCGGAAUUACUGGGCGUAAAGCGUGCGCAGGCGGUGAUGUAAGACCGAUGUGAAAUCCCCGGGCUUAACCUGGGAACUGCAUUGGUGACUGCAUCGCUGGAGUAUGGCAG
This 541-nucleotide ribosomal RNA is filed under the name Burkholderia sp. RNAcentral's name for it is "bacterial SSU rRNA". It matches the Rfam family "Bacterial small subunit ribosomal RNA", at positions 117 to 654 of the family's 1533-position model. The record is from RNAcentral. Lineage: Bacteria; Pseudomonadati; Pseudomonadota; Betaproteobacteria; Burkholderiales; Burkholderiaceae.